GACGAACGCUGGCGGCGUGCCUAAUACAUGCAAGUCGAACGCUUCUUUCCUCCCGAGUGCUUGCACUCCAUUGGAAAGAGGAGUGGCGGACGGGUGAGUAACACGUGGGUAACCUACCCAUCAGAGGGGGAUAACACUUGGAAACAGGUGCUAAUACCGCAUAACAGUUUAUGCCGCAUGGCAUAAGAGUGAAAGGCGCUUUCGGGUGUCGUUGAUGGAUGGACCCGCGGUGCAUUAGCUAGUUGGUGAGGUAACGGCUCACCAAGGCCACGAUGCAUAGCCGACCUGAGAGGGUGAUCGGCCACACUGGGACUGAGACACGGCCCAGACUCCUACGGGAGGCAGCAGUAGGGAAUCUUCGGCAAUGGACGAAAGUCUGACCGAGCAACGCCGCGUGAGUGAAGAAGGUUUUCGGAUCGUAAAACUCUGUUGUUAGGGAAGAACAAGGACGUUAGUAACUGAACGUCCCCUGACGGUAUCUAACCAGAAAGCCACGGCUAACUACGUG
RNAcentral lists this ribosomal RNA (508 nucleotides) under uncultured bacterium. Its description in RNAcentral is "partial 16S ribosomal RNA". It matches the Rfam family "Bacterial small subunit ribosomal RNA", at positions 28 to 507 of the family's 1533-position model. The record is from RNAcentral.